Long non-coding RNA from Dreissena polymorpha, 430 nucleotides. RefSeq lists it as uncharacterized. Lineage: Eukaryota; Metazoa; Mollusca; Bivalvia; Myida; Dreissenidae. The transcript has 4 exons. The record is from RefSeq and is a predicted model, not a curated record.
UUUAGAAGAAAAAUGUAUACUUUACAUAAUAAAAAAUAAAAUUCUGAAAUAUUUUGCGCGUAUAUGUUAUGUUUGUUAUUUUAUAAUUACCUGGUAAAAUACAACAAGGGAGGUAACUGUUAAAUUGUAAACAAACAACAACAACUUGGCUGUAACACUUGAGAAGUUUAUUGAUUACACAGUCACUAAUGAACUAUGAGUGAAGACCUGUAUGAGUAUGAUUCUGAAGGAACUGAUGGCAGUGAUGCAGUUAUAGAGAUUUCAGAUUCAGACGAAACUUUGCCGCCAUCUGACAAAGAAACACAGCCACCUCUGGAGGAAUGUGGUCAGGAAGUUGAAUGGUCCCAGUCACCAUUAGGAUAUUUUGAUUAUUAUUUUUAUAUUCCAUCCUAUGGUGAUCGGAGACUAAGAAACAGUGUAGACAAAUGAG